UUAAGCGACUAAGCGUACACGGUGGAUGCCCUGGCAGUCAGAGGCGAUGAAGGACGUGCUAAUCUGCGAUAAGCGUCGGUGAGGUGAUAUGAACCGUUAUAACCGGCGAUUUCCGAAUGGGGAAACCCAGUGUGUUUCGACACACUAUCAUUAACUGAAUCCAUAGGUUAAUGAGGCGAACCGGGGGAACUGAAACAUCUAAGUACCCCGAGGAAAAGAAAUCAACCGAGAUUCCCCAGUAGCGGCGAGCGAACGGGGAGCAGCCAGAGCCUGAAUCAGUGUGUGUGUUAGUGGAAGCGUCUGGAAAGGCGUGCGAUACAGGGUGACAGCCCGUACACAAAAUGCACAUACUGUGAGCUCGAUGAGUAGGGCGGGACACGUGGUAUCCUGUCUGAAUAUGGGGGACCAUCCUCCAAGGCUAAAUACUCCUGACUGACCGAUAGUGAACCAGUACCGUGAGGGAAAGGCGAAAAGAACCCCGGCGAGGGGAGUGAAAAGAACCUGAAACCGUGUACGUACAAGCAGUGGGAGCCUCUUAAUGGGGUGACUGCGUACCUUUGUAUAAUGGGUCAGCGACUUAUAUUCUGUAGCAAGGUUAACCGAAUAGGGGAGCCGAAGGAAACCGAGUCUUAACUGGGCGUUAAGUUGCAGGGUAUAGACCCGAAACCCGGUGAUCUAGCCAUGGGCAGGUUGAAGGUUGGGUAACACUAACUGGAGGACCGAACCGACUAAUGUUGAAAAAUUAGCGGAUGACUUGUGGCUGGGGGUGAAAGGCCAAUCAAACCGGGAGAUAGCUGGUUCUCCCCGAAAGCUAUUUAGGUAGCGCCUCGUGAAUUCAUCUCCGGGGGUAGAGCACUGUUUCGGCAAGGGGGUCAUCCCGACUUACCAACCCGAUGCAAACUGCGAAUACCGGAGAAUGUUAUCACGGGAGACACACGGCGGGUGCUAACGUCCGUCGUGAAGAGGGAAACAACCCAGACCGCCAGCUAAGGUCCCAAAGUCAUGGUUAAGUGGGAAACGAUGUGGGAAGGCCCAGACAGCCAGGAUGUUGGCUUAGAAGCAGCCAUCAUUUAAAGAAAGCGUAAUAGCUCACUGGUCGAGUCGGCCUGCGCGGAAGAUGUAACGGGGCUAAACCAUGCACCGAAGCUGCGGCAGCGACACUAUGUGUUGUUGGGUAGGGGAGCGUUCUGUAAGCCUGCGAAGGUGUACUGUGAGGUAUGCUGGAGGUAUCAGAAGUGCGAAUGCUGACAUAAGUAACGAUAAAGCGGGUGAAAAGCCCGCUCGCCGGAAGACCAAGGGUUCCUGUCCAACGUUAAUCGGGGCAGGGUGAGUCGACCCCUAAGGCGAGGCCGAAAGGCGUAGUCGAUGGGAAACAGGUUAAUAUUCCUGUACUUGGUGUUACUGCGAAGGGGGGACGGAGAAGGCUAUGUUGGCCGGGCGACGGUUGUCCCGGUUUAAGCGUGUAGGCUGGUUUUCCAGGCAAAUCCGGAAAAUCAAGGCUGAGGCGUGAUGACGAGGCACUACGGUGCUGAAGCAACAAAUGCCCUGCUUCCAGGAAAAGCCUCUAAGCAUCAGGUAACAUCAAAUCGUACCCCAAACCGACACAGGUGGUCAGGUAGAGAAUACCAAGGCGCUUGAGAGAACUCGGGUGAAGGAACUAGGCAAAAUGGUGCCGUAACUUCGGGAGAAGGCACGCUGAUAUGUAGGUGAAGUCCCUCGCGGAUGGAGCUGAAAUCAGUCGAAGAUACCAGCUGGCUGCAACUGUUUAUUAAAAACACAGCACUGUGCAAACACGAAAGUGGACGUAUACGGUGUGACGCCUGCCCGGUGCCGGAAGGUUAAUUGAUGGGGUUAGCGGUAACGCGAAGCUCUUGAUCGAAGCCCCGGUAAACGGCGGCCGUAACUAUAACGGUCCUAAGGUAGCGAAAUUCCUUGUCGGGUAAGUUCCGACCUGCACGAAUGGCGUAAUGAUGGCCAGGCUGUCUCCACCCGAGACUCAGUGAAAUUGAACUCGCUGUGAAGAUGCAGUGUACCCGCGGCAAGACGGAAAGACCCCGUGAACCUUUACUAUAGCUUGACACUGAACAUUGAGCCUUGAUGUGUAGGAUAGGUGGGAGGCUUUGAAGUGUGGACGCCAGUCUGCAUGGAGCCGGCCUUGAAAUACCACCCUUUAAUGUUUGAUGUUCUAACGUUGGCCCCUGAUCGGGGUUGCGGACAGUGUCUGGUGGGUAGUUUGACUGGGGCGGUCUCCUCCUAAAGAGUAACGGAGGAGCACGAAGGUUGGCUAAUCCUGGUCGGACAUCAGGAGGUUAGUGCAAUGGCAUAAGCCAGCUUGACUGCGAGCGUGACGGCGCGAGCAGGUGCGAAAGCAGGUCAUAGUGAUCCGGUGGUUCUGAAUGGAAGGGCCAUCGCUCAACGGAUAAAAGGUACUCCGGGGAUAACAGGCUGAUACCGCCCAAGAGUUCAUAUCGACGGCGGUGUUUGGCACCUCGAUGUCGGCUCAUCACAUCCUGGGGCUGAAGUAGGUCCCAAGGGUAUGGCUGUUCGCCAUUUAAAGUGGUACGCGAGCUGGGUUUAGAACGUCGUGAGACAGUUCGGUCCCUAUCUGCCGUGGGCGCUGGAGAACUGAGGGGGGCUGCUCCUAGUACGAGAGGACCGGAGUGGACGCAUCACUGGUGUUCGGGUUGUCAUGCCAAUGGCACUGCCCGGUAGCUAAAUGCGGAAGAGAUAAGUGCUGAAAGCAUCUAAGCACGAAACUUGCCCCGAGAUGAGUUCUCCCUGACUCUUUAAGGGUCCUGAAGGAACGUUGAAGACGACGACGUUGAUAGGCCGGGUGUGUAAGCGCAGCGAUGCGUUGAGCUAACCGGUACUAAUGAACCGUGAGGCUUAACCU
RNAcentral lists this ribosomal RNA (2893 nucleotides) under Escherichia coli. RNAcentral describes it as "23S ribosomal RNA". It matches the Rfam family "Bacterial large subunit ribosomal RNA". The record is from RNAcentral. Lineage: Bacteria; Pseudomonadati; Pseudomonadota; Gammaproteobacteria; Enterobacterales; Enterobacteriaceae.